AGUGAACGCUGGCGGUAGGCCUAACACAUGCAAGUCGAACGGCAGCACAGUAAGAGCUUGCUCUUACGGUUGGCGAGUGGCGGACGGGUGAGGAAUACAUCGGAAUCUACUUUUUCUUGGGGGAUAACGUAGGUAAACUUACGCUAAUACCGCAUACGACCUACGGGUGAAAUCAGGGGAUCUUCGGACCUUGCGCGAUUGUAUGAGCCGAUGUCGGAUUAGCUAGUUGGCGGGGUAAAGGCCCACCAAGGCAACGAUCCGUAGCUGGUCUGAGAGGAUGAUCAGCCACACUGGAACUGAGACACGGUCCAGACUCCUACGGGAGGCAGCAGUGGGGAAUAUUGGACAAAGGGCGCAAGCCUGAUCCAGCCAUACCGCGUGGGUGAAGAAGGACUUCGGGUUGUAAAGCCCUUUUGUUGGGAAAGAAAAGCAGCAGGUUAAUACCCCGCUGUUCUGACGGUACCAAAAGAAUAAGCACCGGCUAACUUCGUG
This 492-nucleotide ribosomal RNA is filed under the name uncultured bacterium. RNAcentral describes it as "partial 16S ribosomal RNA". It matches the Rfam family "Bacterial small subunit ribosomal RNA", at positions 29 to 507 of the family's 1533-position model. The record is from RNAcentral.